Molecule: transfer RNA, 81 nt
Filed under: Phacus arnoldii
Lineage: Eukaryota; Euglenozoa; Euglenophyceae; Euglenales; Phacaceae
Description: tRNA-Tyr
Rfam family: tRNA
About the family: Transfer RNA (tRNA) molecules are approximately 80 nucleotides in length.
Source: RNAcentral
GAGUUGUUGCCCGAGUGGUUAAUGGGAGCGGAUUGUAAAUCCGUUGGUUAUCCUUCGCUGGUUCGAAUCCAGCACAACUCA